RNAcentral lists this unclassified non-coding RNA (329 nucleotides) under soil metagenome. Its description in RNAcentral is "partial contains 5.8S ribosomal RNA, internal transcribed spacer 2, and large subunit ribosomal RNA". The stretch from base 1 to 120 matches the Rfam family "5.8S ribosomal RNA", at positions 35 to 154 of the family's 154-position model. The record is from RNAcentral.
GAUGAAGAACGCAGCGAAAUGCGAUAAGUAAUGUGAAUUGCAGAGUUCAGUGAAUCAUCGAAUCUUUGAACGCACAUUGCGCCCCCUGGUAUUCCGGGGGGCAUGCCUGUCCGAGCGUCAUUACAACCCUCAAGCUCAGCUUGGUGUUGGGCCCCGCCGCCCCGGCGGGCCCUAAAGUCAGUGGCGGUGCCGUCCGGCUCCGAGCGUAGUAAUUCUUCUCGCUCUGGAGGUCCGGUCGUGUGCUCGCCAGCAACCCCCAAUUUUUUUCAGGUUGACCUCGGAUCAGGUAGGGAUACCCGCUGAACUUAAGCAUAUCCAUAAGCGGAGGA